UUCGCAAUGCCCGAAAGGGUGACGAAGCGACGCCGCGUGCGGGAAGAAGGCCUUCGGGUUGUAAACCGCUGUCGGGAGUUAAGAAGUGCAAGGGUGUUAAUAGCAUCCUUGCUUGACUAAGGCUCCGGAGGAAGCCACGGCUAACUCUGUGCCAGCAGCCGCGGUAAUACAGAGGUGGCAAGCGUUGUUCGGUAUUAUUGGGCGUAAAGAGCACGUAGGUGGUUUUGUAAGUCAGAUGUGAAAGCCUUCUGUUCAAAGGAAGAACGGCAUCUGAAACUGCGAAUCUUGAGUGUAGGAGGGGAGAGUGGAACUUCUGGUGGAGCGGUGAAAUGCGUAGAUAUCAGAAGGAACGUCGGCGGCGAAAGCGACUCUCUGGCCUAUUACUGACACUGAGUGUGCGAAAGUUAGGGGAGCAAACGGGAUUAGAUACCCCGGUAGUCCUAACUGUAAACGAUGGGCACUAAGUAGAGGGGUUUU
This 477-nucleotide ribosomal RNA is filed under the name Candidatus Brocadia carolinensis. RNAcentral describes it as "bacterial SSU rRNA". It matches the Rfam family "Bacterial small subunit ribosomal RNA", at positions 365 to 832 of the family's 1533-position model. The record is from RNAcentral. Lineage: Bacteria; Pseudomonadati; Planctomycetota; Candidatus Brocadiia; Candidatus Brocadiales; Candidatus Brocadiaceae.